Molecule: ribosomal RNA, 253 nt
Filed under: uncultured bacterium
Lineage: Bacteria
Description: partial 16S ribosomal RNA
Rfam family: Bacterial small subunit ribosomal RNA
Source: RNAcentral
UACGAAGGGGGCUAGCGUUGCUCGGAAUCACUGGGCGUAAAGGGUGCGUAGGCGGGUCUUUUAAGUCAGGGGUGAAAUCCUGGAGCUCAACUCCAGAACUGCCUUUGAUACUGAAGAUCUUGAGUUCGGGAGAGGUGAGUGGAACUGCGGGUGAGAGGUGAAAUUCGUAGAUAUUCGCAAGAACACCAGUGGCGAAGGCGGCUCACUGGCCCGAUACUGACGCUGAUGCACGAAAGCGUGGGGAGCAAACAGG